CACGCCCUAAACGAUGGAUACUUGGUGUUGGGGGGUUACCCUCGGUGCCGGAGCUAACGCGUUAAGUAUCCCACCUGGGAACUACGGCCGCAAGGCUAAAACUCAAAGGAAUUGACGGGGGCCCGCACAAGCAGCGAGGUAUGUGGUUUAAUUCGACGCUACGCGAAGAACCUUACCUGGGCUUGACAUGCUUGAGAAAGGACCAAGAAACUGGUCCCCUCAUGACCGCAAGGUCAUGACUCAUCCACAGGUGC
RNAcentral lists this ribosomal RNA (254 nucleotides) under uncultured bacterium. Its description in RNAcentral is "partial 16S ribosomal RNA". It matches the Rfam family "Bacterial small subunit ribosomal RNA", at positions 796 to 1041 of the family's 1533-position model. The record is from RNAcentral.